Molecule: unclassified non-coding RNA, 439 nt
Filed under: Hevea brasiliensis (rubber tree)
Lineage: Eukaryota; Viridiplantae; Streptophyta; Magnoliopsida; Malpighiales; Euphorbiaceae
Source: RNAcentral
CCCAACAUCAUCAGUCUUCCUCCUCUUCUUCCAUUUCUUUCAAAAUUAAAGUAUUGUUACUCUGCUAUUGGCUCAAAACCUCUGCAAUCUCCGUCUCCUUCAAUUUCAACUCAAGCAAAUCCACCUCUUUCACUAGUUUCAUCACUUUCAGAUCAGGGUUUGGAGUUGAAGGUACGGGGGGCUAAUUGAUGGCGUCGAAGAGGAUAUUGAAGGAGCUCAAGGAUCUGCAGAAGGAUCCCCCCACAUCAUGCAGUGCUGGUCCAGUGGCAGAGGAUAUGUUCCAUUGGCAAGCAACAAUCAUGGGGCCUACCGAUAGCCCUUAUGCUGGAGGUGUAUUUUUGGUUUCAAUUCAUUUCCCUCCAGAUUAUCCUUUUAAGCCUCCAAAGGUUGCCUUCAGAACUAAGGUUUUCCAUCCCAACAGCCCCAGAAUAUGGGCUUU